RNAcentral lists this transfer RNA (72 nucleotides) under Loxodonta africana (African savanna elephant). It matches the Rfam family "tRNA". Rfam says of the family: Transfer RNA (tRNA) molecules are approximately 80 nucleotides in length. Lineage: Eukaryota; Metazoa; Chordata; Mammalia; Proboscidea; Elephantidae. The record is from Rfam by way of RNAcentral.
GCCCCUGUAGCUUAAUGGUUAAGCACUCGGCUGCUAACCUAAAGGUCGGCAGUUGGAAUCCAACCAGUGGCU